RNAcentral lists this ribosomal RNA (253 nucleotides) under uncultured bacterium. Its description in RNAcentral is "partial 16S ribosomal RNA". It matches the Rfam family "Bacterial small subunit ribosomal RNA", at positions 524 to 776 of the family's 1533-position model. The record is from RNAcentral.
UACGUAGGGUGCGAGCGUUAAUCGGAAUUACUGGGCGUAAAGCGUGCGCAGGCGGUUUUGUAAGCCAGAUGUGAAAUCCCCGGGCUUAACCUGGGAAUGGCAUUUGGGACUGCAAGGCUCGAGUGCGGCAGAGGAGACUGGAAUUCCUGGUGUAGCAGUGAAAUGCGUAGAGAUCAGGAGGAACAUCCGUGGCGAAGGCGGCUACCUGGACCAACAUUGACACUGAGGCACGAAAGCGUGGGGAGCAAACAGG